GUGAACGACGGGCGGAGGGUCGAGGUAAUAGGGAGGGGGCAGGCGUAGUGUGUAAUUAAUGGGCGCAAAGAGAACGCAGGCGGUCUGACAAGUCGGGUGUGAAAGCCCCAGGCUCAACCUGGGAACUGCAUCCGAAACUGCCAGACUUGAGUUCGGGAGAGGGAAGUGGAAUUCCUGGUGUAGAGGUGAAAUUCGUUGAUAUCAGGAGGAACACCGGCGGCGAAAGCGGCUUCCUGGCCCGAUACUGACGCUCAUGUACGAAAGCGUGGGGAGCAAACAGGAUUAGAUACCCGAGUAGUC
This 300-nucleotide ribosomal RNA is filed under the name uncultured bacterium. RNAcentral describes it as "bacterial SSU rRNA". It matches the Rfam family "Bacterial small subunit ribosomal RNA", at positions 496 to 795 of the family's 1533-position model. The record is from RNAcentral.